UACGGAGGGUGCAAGCGUUAUCCGGAUUUACUGGGUUUAAAGGGUGCGUAGGCGGAGAGGUAAGUCAGUGGUGAAAUCCCCGAGCUCAACUUGGGAACUGCCGUUGAUACUAUCUGUCUUGAAUACCGUGGAGGUGAGCGGAAUAUGUCAUGUAGCGGUGAAAUGCUUAGAUAUGACAUAGAACACCGAUUGCGAAGGCAGCUCACUACGCGGUCAUUGACGCUGAGGCACGAAAGCGUGGGGAGCAAACAGG
Molecule: ribosomal RNA, 253 nt
Filed under: uncultured bacterium
Lineage: Bacteria
Description: partial 16S ribosomal RNA
Rfam family: Bacterial small subunit ribosomal RNA
Source: RNAcentral